Non-coding RNA from Aedes aegypti (yellow fever mosquito), 687 nucleotides. Lineage: Eukaryota; Metazoa; Arthropoda; Insecta; Diptera; Culicidae. The record is from the annotation of a RefSeq genome assembly.
GAAAAUUUAUAAUUUAACUAUAUACUAAAAUUUUUACUUGCUCAUAUUUGUAUAACCGCGGGUAGCUGGCACAAAAUUUACCAUACUACUAUAUUAUUACUAUACAAAAUUUCUUCUUUAUUAAUAUCAGAUUCACUCUUUAUAAUAUAAAUAUAAAUUUAUUAGGUGAAAUUUUUAAAUUUAUUAAUUUAUUAUUUAAAAAAUAAUUUAAGCUAUAAACUUUUUGUAAUAAACUAGGAUUAGAUACCCUAUUAUUAAAAAUAAAUAUUAAAAUGCUAAAGUAGUAUUAGUUAUAUUCUUAAAAUUUAAAAAAUUUGGCGGUGUUUUAGUCUAUUUAGAGGAAUCUGUCCUGUAAUUGAUAAUUCACAUUGAACCUUACUUAAAUUUGUUUAAUUUGUAUAUCGUCGUCAUCAGAAUAUGUUAUAAGAUUUAAUUUUCUUAAUAUUUUAUUAAAUAAAAUGUCAGAUCAAGGUGCAGUUUAUAUUUAAGUAGAGAUGGAUUACAAUAAAUUUAUUUAAAUGAAUAAUUUUUUGAAACAAAAAUUUGAAGGUGGAUUUAAUAGUAAUAUAAAAUAGAUUAUUUAUAUGAUUUUAGCUCUAAAACAUGUACAUAUCGCCCAUCGUUCUUAUUUUUAAAAUAAGAUAAGUUGUAACAUAGUAGAUGUACUGGAAAGUGUAUCUAGAAAGA